This 463-nucleotide long non-coding RNA is filed under the name Felis catus (domestic cat). Its description in RNAcentral is "lncRNA (ENSFCAG00000053149.1)". Lineage: Eukaryota; Metazoa; Chordata; Mammalia; Carnivora; Felidae. The record is from RNAcentral.
CUCAGUGCUCGAGAGGCCUAGAACCCCCGAUUGCCACCCGCAGCCUCUCUGCACAUCCCGGGAGCCAGCACAGUGUCACCACCGCCACUGUGGCUCAGUGUCCUUUUUUAAAGUCCUCUCGGCCACUCUCGCCACCUGUGAGCAGAGGCAGUUUUGCAGAGAAGCCACUGUCCCAUUCAACUGGAAAGAGGAGAACUCCCAGUACAUGGUCAAGGACAAACUCCCACCCUGUCCAGAAGAGAUCCUGCAGAGAAGACUAGGCAUGGCUGAGAAGCUCGGCUCUGGAGAUGGACCAAGCAUGACCCUCAGGACCGGUAAAGGCUUCGCAAACAUCACACAUUGCAAAAGAAAUCACUUAUCUGACCUACAGAAAUGAAAACCAAGGUUCGAUUUCACUGCACGAGUCCUAAACGAACAACAAAACUGGGCAGUUGAUUUCAUCCAAAUGCCAGUCUGAUUUUGC